UCCGGUUUGUCACCGGCAGUCUCACUAGAGUGCCCGUUUCCGUAGCAACUAGUGACAAGGGUUGCGCUCGUUGCGGGACUUAACCCAACAUCUCACGACACGAGCUGACGACGGCCAUGCAGCACCUGUCACUUGGCUCCCGAGGGCACCCCCUGAUUUCUCAAGGGUUCCAAGGAUGUCAAGCCUGGGUGAGGUUCUCCGCGUAUCGUCAAAUUAAACCACAUCAUCCACCGCUUGUGCGGGUCCCCGUCAAUUCCUUUGAGUUUUAGCCUUGCGGCCGUACUUCCCAGGCGGCAUACUUAUCGCGUUAGCUUCGUCUCACAGGGGGUCGAUACCCCAUAAGACUAGUAUGCAUCGUUUACGGCGUGGACUAC
Molecule: unclassified non-coding RNA, 374 nt
Filed under: uncultured bacterium
Lineage: Bacteria
Description: contains 16S-23S intergenic spacer region
Source: RNAcentral